AAAUAGACCCUUCAGUUUGACCCUUCACGUUUUCUCGCCUCUUUUGAGGACCACUAGUAACCUGUACUCAUCUUCCUCCGCCGCGACCGAGCUAGAAACAGACAUAGUUGCAGGAGACGAUACCGAGAAAACACGCCCCGCCGUUGAACUCUCAUCAGCCGAAAGCUUCAUCGCCGGCAAUUUCUAUUCGUUAAUUAAAGACCACCACCGCAAGAACCCCAAUUUCGCCCUAAACCCCAUAAACCCUAAUGUGGCGUUGCCAUCUCUCUCUUUCGAGUUUUCAAAUAUCUCCACCGUUCAAUCUAUAUCGGCCGCCGUCGUCCGACGCGUGAUAGAGAAAUGCGGCGCUCCCCGCCACGGUAUUCCCUUCCCCCAAACGCUCGCAUUCUUCAACUGGGCCACGUCGGCGCUGGAGCCUUCUCAAGCCCUGGAGCUGUUCAAUGAAAUGGUCGAUCUUUCCGGAAAGGUACGCCAAUUCGAUGUCGCCUGGAACUUAAUUGAUUCGAUGAAAGCUCAAAAUGUGACGAUCCCGAUUGAAACAUUUUCGAUUUUGAUUCGGCGGUAUAUUCGUGCUGGAAUGGCCUGGAAGCGGUGCAUACAUUCAAUAGGAUUCAGGAAUAUGGAUGCGAGCCUGAUAGGAAGGCUUUUUCCAUUGUGAUUGGUAUGUUGUGCAGGAAACGUCGCGCCUUUGAAGCGCAGGCAUUUUUUGAUGGUUUGAAGGAUAAGUUUGAGCUUGAUGUUGUGGUGUAUACUAGCUUGAUACACGGCUGGUUUCGAGCGGGUAACAUUGAUGAGGCUGAGAGGGUUUUUAAGGAGAUGAAGGAAGCUGGAAUUCAGCCUACUGUGUAUACUUACAGUAUUGUGAUUGAUGCAUUGUGUAGAUGUGGGCAGGUAACGCGUGCACAUGAUGUGUUUGCUGAAAUGAUUGAUGUCGGGUGUCAGCCAAACUCGGUUACUUUCAACAAUUUGAUGCGAGUUCAUGUUAAGGCAGGGAGGACUGAGAAGGUGCUGCAAGUAUAUAAUCAAAUGAAGAGGCUUUCUUGUGAGCCGGAUGUGAUUACAUACAACUUUCUGAUUGAAACUCACUGCAAGGACAAGAAUCGAGGGAGGCUCAGAAGGUGCUUAGUUCAAUGAUUAAGAAAGGGUGUGAGACGAAUGCAUCAAGUUUCAAUCCAAUCUUUAGGUGCAUCGCGACAGACCAGGAUGUGAAUGCUGCUCAUCGGUUGUUUGUCAGGAUGAAGGAUGUGAAAUGCAUGCCCAACACAGUGACGUACAAUGUGUUGAUGCAGAUGUUUUCUGAGUCGAAGUCUACUGAUAUGGUCAUCAAGCUUUGGAAGGAGAUGCAUGAGAAUGAAGUGGAGCCUAAUGUGAAUACUUUCAAGAUUCUUAUCUCCUUGUACUGCUCGAUGGGGCAUUGGAACAAUGCUUACAAGUACUUUAGGGAGAUGAUUGAGGAGCGAUGUUUGAGACCUAAUCCACAGGUCUACGAAAUGGUUAUGAAGCAGCUGAGAAAAGCAGGUCAGCUGAAGAAGCAUGAAGAACUAAUGGAGAAGAUGGUUGAUAGGGGUUUCAUUACUCGUCCUCUCUAGAGAUAAACUGUAUCGCUUGCUUAGAAGCAUUUUAUUGUGUUCGAGAUCAAACUAUUAAUUUGCUUGAUCAUGCAGGCUGGAUCAAGUGAGGGGUUCCAUAUGUGUCCACACGAUCAUACACUUGGUGCAGUAUUAGUUGCAAGUGUGCAUUGAUCAGUUUUGAUCCUGAAGCAUGACUAGCUUGUGCAUCCGUUUGCUAAAUUUUCAAUGCACUAAACAGAGUUGCUUUGCAAGGGUAUCUUGAGAUGCUUGGUAGGUACACUGUGACUGUCUAUUCUCAUUCUUGAAACUCUGCUAAGACUGGCUUAUUUGGCCAGGAAUUUAGAAUUCAGUUAAGUUUUGCAAAGAAUUGACGCUUACUGCGUCUAUGUUGAAGAUACAACUUUGAUUCUGAUUGCACUCAUCAGGCACCAAACUCUUUUCU
Molecule: long non-coding RNA, 2013 nt
Filed under: Salvia miltiorrhiza (redroot sage)
Lineage: Eukaryota; Viridiplantae; Streptophyta; Magnoliopsida; Lamiales; Lamiaceae
Description: long non-coding RNA (SMIL_LNC008460)
Source: RNAcentral